This 300-nucleotide ribosomal RNA is filed under the name uncultured Thalassomonas sp. RNAcentral's name for it is "bacterial SSU rRNA". It matches the Rfam family "Bacterial small subunit ribosomal RNA", at positions 115 to 418 of the family's 1533-position model. Lineage: Bacteria; Pseudomonadati; Pseudomonadota; Gammaproteobacteria; Alteromonadales; Colwelliaceae. The record is from RNAcentral.
GCGUAGGAAACUACCCAGUAGUGGGGGACAAAAAGUGGAAACGACUGCUAAUACCGCAUAAUGUCUACGGACCAAAGGAAGGGAUCUUCGGACCUUUCGCCUUUAGAUUAGCCCAAGUGAGAUUAGCUAGUUGGUGGGGUAAUGGCCUACCAAGGCGACGAUCUCUAGCUGGUUUGAGAGGAUGAUCAGCCACACUGGGACUGAGACACGGCCCAGACUCCUACGGGAGGCAGCAGUGGGGAAUAUUGGACAAUGGGCGCAAGCCUGAUCCAGCCAUGCCGCGUGAGUGAUGAAGGCCUU